GAAGGUCAAGGUGAGACUGACCAACACCUGCGUGCUGGUAUUCACCAGCAGUAAUAAAUCCCUGCUCACAGGUGCUGGAAGUCUCUUCAGAGAAACAACAUUGCUGCAGGGGACACACAACUAGUCCUGACCUUCUUUACACAGCCAUUCUCUGGGAAAAAUUUCCCCUGAAGUCAAUGUGCAUUCUGCCUAGCUUUCAUCGGAAGAAAAAUGCCCGGAUUGAAAUGACAACCACAAAUAAUAGGUGUUGGUGAUUUGCACUCUCUCAACCUAAAUCUGAUAUCUGGC
This is a long non-coding RNA of Poecile atricapillus (Black-capped chickadee), 288 nucleotides long. RefSeq lists it as uncharacterized. The record is from RefSeq and is a predicted model, not a curated record. Lineage: Eukaryota; Metazoa; Chordata; Aves; Passeriformes; Paridae. The transcript has 3 exons.